GAUGAACGCUGGCGGCGUGCCUAAUACAUGCAAGUCGAGCGAACGGACGAGAAGCUUGCUUCUCUGAUGUUAGCGGCGGACGGGUGAGUAACACGUGGAUAACCUACCUAUAAGACUGGGAUAACUUCGGGAAACCGGAGCUAAUACCGGAUAAUAUUUUGAACCGCAUGGUUCAAAAGUGAAAGACGGCCUUGCUGUCACUUAUAGAUGGAUCCGCGCUGCAUUAGCUAGUUGGUAAGGUAACGGCUUACCAAGGCAACGAUGCAUAGCCGACCUGAGAGGGUGAUCGGCCACACUGGAACUGAGACACGGUCCAGACUCCUACGGGAGGCAGCAGUAGGGAAUCUUCCGCAAUGGGCGAAAGCCUGACGGAGCAACGCCGCGUGAGUGAUGAAGGUCUUCGGAUCGUAAAACUCUGUUAUUAGGGAAGAACAUAUGUGUAAGUAACUGUGCACAUCUUGACGGUACCUAAUCAGAAAACCACGGCUAACUACGU
RNAcentral lists this ribosomal RNA (496 nucleotides) under uncultured bacterium. RNAcentral's name for it is "partial 16S ribosomal RNA". It matches the Rfam family "Bacterial small subunit ribosomal RNA", at positions 28 to 506 of the family's 1533-position model. The record is from RNAcentral.